GGUUUCGAUGCGCAGGGAUAAUUGAGAGGGAAAUGCUUCAGAGCCAAUUUUUGUUAAGGAUGUAUGACAGUGAGAGUUACACCGUGAAGAAUCAAGAGCAAGACAGAGCAGCAGGGGCACUUACUUUAAGUUGGAUGGAUCAGCCUCUUUACAUAGUCUCAGCAUGGACACCAGUUGAUGUAGCAGGCAAUGUUGGAGAGUCGACCUUUUGUAAUUAGUUUAGUUACCUAUUUGGGUCCUUGUAAUCAUGAUGUAAUUAGGAUAGUUAUUUGAUGUUUCUUUCCUUGUAAAUAAUCCUUGUACGAUAUAUUUUCCUCCUUGGUGAGAAGAAUAAUAUUAGUGAAUCAAACCCCAAGAUAAGCCCCAAUUAGCAUGGUAUCAGAGCAGAGAUCCUAGGAUUUCUGCUUUGCCCGUUCCUUCAAACAAACUCGGCCCUCCCACGGAGAACCUACCUCCACUCCACGGUGGAAACAACCUCAUCCUAACCGAUCAUACCCCUAUACUAAACACUACUACCCUAACCGACCCUACCAUGAAUCAUACUCCACCUCUACAGUAAGUUGUUACACAAAUUGUUCAUCAUGAUUCUUCUACCUCUUCGAUUAGCAUCAAACUCAAUGGUGCCAAUUAUGGAGUUUGGUCUCAAAUUGUUGAGAUGUUCAUUGUUGGAAAAGACAAGUUGGGCUACUUGUUUGGAAGUAAUCCCCAACCACCUAACGAUGAUACGGCCUUCACCAAAUGGCGUACGAAGAAUGCCAUUGUGAAGGGUUGGCUCAUCAAUUCUAUGGAACCCAAUUUGAUUGGGUAUUUUCUUCGACUACCGACGACAAAAGAAGUGUGGGACGUAGUUGCUCGCACAUAUUAUGACGGCUCUGAUAUAUCUCAAGUUUACGAUCUUACCUGCAAGGCUUUUUGCAUAAGGCAAGACAGACGACCGAUGGAGACAUACUAUAAUGAUCUUUAGUCUUUAUAGCAAGAGAUUGAUUAUCGUCGACCCAAUCUAAUGAAGUACAGUACUGAUAUUGAAAUUUAUAAUAAAAUUGUUCAAACGGAUCGUGUGUAUACUUUGCUUGCAGGAUUGGAUGAGAUAUUUGAUAAAAUUCAUAGUGAUAUUCUACGAACUGAGCCUCUUCCUUCCGUCCAACAAACAUUUGCCUAUGUUCGCCGAGAAGGAAUGCGACAUGCUAUUAUGAAUACCGGAGGAUAGCUGCCUAGUGGGGCAGCGAUGGUGGCUCUACCUGCAGCAUGAGUUGCGGUUCUAUCUAGUCCCCGCGCUCCUAAGAAGUCACUUGCACUAAGCCCAAGACUGCAACCUCAGGCUACUGCCACAACCCCAUCAUAAGGCUUUCUCUUCAUUGCCAAGAUUGCCUCACGACCCACCUUAGGCCCUCACCCUCCUCGUUCCAAACCACCUGUCCUAAUUGGUGGUUGUACUGACUGUGGUAGUGAGAAGCACGGCUACAACAAUUUUUUUUCAGUUGCUCCACUAUCUUGACUAGUAGGAACCAUUGAAGCUUCAGAAACAACGGGAACGAGACGUGCAAGCCAAGCUGGUCAAGCCAAUCUUUCCACCUUUGUGUCCCAACUAUCUUUGAUAUCUCAAGAUGAUUCUCCUCCUGUUUCGAGUUCUUCCGACAUGCUUUCGGAGUCCUUAGGUAACUAUGGUUAUGCUUUUAAUAUGAAUCAUGAUGAUACUCUGUCCAGUUGGAUCAUUGACUCCGAUGCCACGUACCAUAUGACCUAUAACCCCAUUGAUUUAGCUUGUAAUACUGUUCCGCUUCGACGUAAUAUUACUAAUGCUAAUGGUGUCACUUCACCGGUCAUGGGUGCUAGCACUGUACGUUUCACGCCCACCCACUCUUUGCCUCAUACAUUACUUGUACCUUCACUAAAGCAUAAAUUGAUGUUUCUUGACCAAGCUAUUAAGCAAUUGAACUAUUGUGUACUAAUGUAUAUGAAGUUUUGUCUUAUUCAGGAUAUUCUCAUAAAUGAGAUAAUUGAUUGUGGUACUAAAAUGGGGGAUCUCUAUUUUAUAGAUGAUGUCAAUACAGGACGAGUCAAUCUCGCCUAAGAAGCCAGUGAUCACAAGCGACGUUAGAUAUGGUUAUGGCAUCACCUUUUGGGUCAUCUGUCUUUCAGUAAUUUACAACAUAUGUUUCUGGAUUUAUUUGUUAGUUGUUCAAUUUUAGACUUUAAAUGUGACACUUGCAUUCUUGCCAAGAGUCAUCGUGUUUCUUAUCCGUUGAAUUCUAAUAAAAGUGUUAUUCCUUUUGGUCUUGUUCAUUCGGAUGCUUGGGGAUCAUCUUCGAUUACUACUUCAUCUGGUAUUUAGUGGUUUGUUACUUUCAUAGAUGAUUGCACACGGAUGACAUAGUUGUACCUUCUUAAGCAUAAAAGUGAUGUGUUUUUGGCCUUUAAGACAUUCCACACCAUGGUUUAGACAUAAUUUUCUACUAAAAUCCGGAUUUUGCAUUCUGAUAAUGGCGGUGAAUAUGUUAAUAAUGAUUUUACACAUUAUUUAACUAAUCACGGAAUCCUCCACGAGACUACUUGUCCUCAGACUCCUCUAAAGAAUGAGGUGGUUGAGCGCAAAAACCGCCAUCUUUAGAAAUGGCUCGCCCAAUUUUGAUUGGGGCGCAUGUUCCCUGCACUUCUUGGGAUGUUGCUCUUCAGACGACCAUUUACCUCCUUAUCAACCGCAUGUCAUCCAAAGUAUUUGAUUUUCUUACACCUUUACAAGUUCUUGCUAACUUCAUGCUUCUACCAUCAAUUUUGGUACUCCGACCACGAGUUUUUGGAUGUGUUACAUUUGUUCAUCUACAUAAAAAUCAAUAGACGAAACUUGACCCGUGUGUUUUCCGUUGUAUUUUUAUGGGAUAUGGAUUACAUCAGAAAGGGUACUUUUGAUACCACCAUCCUUUCCGUUGGAUGUAUACUACCAUGGAUGUUACUUUUUUCCAAGUCUGAGAUGUAUUACUUUUCAGCUUUUUCCAACCCUACUCUACAGGGGAAGACAUUGCAUGAUGAGCAGGUUUGGACCAAGGCUGCUACGACUAAUCUUCUACUGCCACUAUUAGCCUAGCCUGCAGUGGCCGCACUGCCAGCCCAACUAACAGAAGCAGCAUUGCUGCCCACAGAAGUAUUGAUAGGCACGGCAAUGCCAUCCUCACCGACAGCAACAGUGCUUCCACUUGCCAAUCUUGAGACUUCUACUGAUACUACUCCCCUCUACCUCCAAAUAUAGUACCACCAGAUGACCAAACUCUUAAGAAUAUUCCUAAGGUAAGCUCUAUUAUCCCUAUUGAUGUAUCUAAUGUUCUGACUUAUCAGUUACCUUUCAGGCACAAUGGGGGAAAGCCACUCAAUCGGUAUUCACCGGAAACAACGAAAGGUUUUAAAACCCCAUUGCCAACUAUAUGUCAUCACAUAAAAUUAUCAGAACCUGGUAAAGCAUUUGUACAACAAAUAUCCAAUGAUAGCAAAACUAGUUCAUUGAAGGAGCCCCUAUCUGACAAUCGAUGAACCGCAAUGGAGGAAGAAAUGAAUGCACUUCAAAAGAAUCAAACAAGGGAUUUAGUUCCGCUACCCCGAGGAAAGAAGAAAGUUGGAUGUCGAUGGGUGUAUAUCAUCAAGUACAAAGCUGAUGGGUCUAUUGAACGAUACAAAGCAUGAUUGGUGGCCAAGGGAUACACUUAGAUGUAUGGUGUUGAUUAUAUAGAAACAUUUGCCCCGGUAGCAUAGAUUAAUACGGUAAGAGUAUUACUUUCAUUGACGGCUAACUUGGAUUGGCCAUUACAGCAAUUUGAUGUGAAAAAUGCUUUCUUACAUGGUAAUCUUAAAGAAGAAGUGUAUAUGGAUAUUCCAUCUGGUUAUGCAUCAAUUUCACAACCUGGAGUGGUGUGCAAGUUGAAUAAAGCAUUGUAUGGAUUGAAACAAUCACCUCACGCAUGGUUUGGUAGGUUCCGAAGAGCUAUGAGGAAGUAUGGGUUCAGGCAGAGUAAUUUCGAUCAUACACUUUUCUUGAAAUGUCGAAUGGGUAAAUUGACCGCACUUAUUAUUUAUGUGGAUGAUAUGAUUGUUACGGGUGAUGAUAAAGAGGAAAACUCAAGGCUAAAAGAUUACCUAGCAACCAAGUUCGAGAUGAAAGAUCUUGGUGGAUUGAAAUGUUUCUUGGGGAUAGAAGUAGCUCAAUCUAAACAAGGCAUAUUUCUAUCUCAAAGAAAAUAUGUUCUAGACUUGUUAGCUGAAAUAGGAAUGCUUGAUUGUAAAUCGACUAUAGUCUAAAAUAACCAUCUUGUCGUGCAUCCUGAUCAAGUUCCCAUUAACAAAGAUCUUUAUCAAAGGUUAGUCGGGAGGUUAAUUUAUUUAUCUCACACCAGGCCUAAUAUUGCAUAUGUAGUGUCAUUAGUCAGUUUAUGCAUUCUCCGAGUGAUACACAUAUGGGUGUGGUUGAACGCAUCCUACGAUACCUAAAAUCCUCCUCUAGUAGAGGCAUCAUGUUUUCCAAGAAUGAUCAUUGCCAAAUAGAAGGUUAUACUGAUGCAGAUUUGGCAGGAAACAUUACUGAUCGACGAUCCACAUCUGGAUACUUUACAUUUGUAGGGGAAAUUUAGUGACCUCAUAGAGUAAGAAACAGAAAGUGGUUGCUUUAUCAAGUGUAGAGGCGGAAUAUAGGGGCAUGGCAAAAGGAGUAUGUGAACUAUUAUGGCUUCGGAGGUUACUUGUUGAGCUCAGUUGUUCUUCAAAGUCGGCCUCAGAUUUGUUUUGUGAUAAUAAAGCAACUAUUGAUAUCUCACACAACCCAAUCCAGCAUGAUCGCACGAAACAUGUGGAAGUUGACAGACACUUCAUUAAGGAGAAGUUGGAUAGGAAUAUCAUUCAAUUCCCAUUCGUAAAGUCAGAGGAUCAAUUGGCGGACAUCUUAACUAAAGUUGUUGCGAGUCAAGCGUUCUACAACUCUCUCUUCAAGUUGGGCAUGAACGAUAUUUAUGCACCAACUUGAAGGGGAGUGUUGGAGAGUUGACCUUUUGUAAUUAGUUUAGUUACCUGUUUGGGUCCUUGUAAUCAAGAUGUAAUUAGGAUAGUUAUUUGAUGUUUCUUUCCUUGUAAAUCAUCCUUGUACAAUAUAUUCCUUGGUGAGAAAAAUAAUAUCAGUGAAUUAAACCCCAAGAUAGCCCUAAUUAAUAGGCAGCUCGUCAUCAUUUUCGGAACCAAGUUAAAUAGCCGCGGAUUUUAGUUUCUUAUUCGUACAUAAUAGUCACUUUUGAUUCCAUUGUUGCAUAGAGAAAAAAAGGAUACAAAAUUCUUUGUAGGUAGGGGAAAUCUCAUUAGUAUUCAAUUCAUUCAUUCUUUUGUUGCAGAUAAAUCGUCAGUCCGAUAAUGUCAUAAUCAUUUGUUAUGUAAGAAUUACAGCAGUUGUGAGGUGAUAUUUGAUUUCAAUUCUUUGUAGUCCUUGUUGUUGUCAGUAUUCGGAGUCAAUUCAAUUUCUGUUUAUUCUUUGAUUCUUUUUGUGAUGUUGAAAUUCUUUAUUGAACCAGUCAAGUAAAGUGAAGUCAUAUUAUCUGUUUGGUUGAUCAUUUGUUCUACUUUGUAUUAAUGGAUCAUUGAAAAUUUCAUUGUUACAUAUGAUAUUUAUGGCUCUUCUUCUUCUUCUUCUUCUUCUUCUUCUUCUAUCUUUCUCUCUCUCUGCAUUGGUAGUCUGCAAAUUCCAUUGAACAAUUUCAUGUGUAAUAAUAAAAGGGUGAGUCCGUAAGUAAGCAGCACAUGCUAAAGGAGUGAUAGUGUCACGUAAGUAUCAACGAACCAAAAAGAUGCUUGAAAACACCUUGUUUUGAUGUGAAAAUUUGGUAAUAAGAAUAGGCAAGUGGCAGAAUAAAUCAAUUGGAUUGGGUUUUCCUUGCUUAAGCAUGCAUGGAGCUUUCACAUUUGGUCGCCUAAAAUGUUUUCCUUGGUUUAAGUUUUAAGUCAUCUUUAAAUGUUAUCAUCAACAUAUCAUUUGAGCACUUUCAUUGAUUGAUGGAUGGCAAGAGCAAAGGCUUGAAAGAUGCCCUUCAACCCCAAAAAAAAAAUCACCUUCAGCAGGCCAAUUGAAGUAGGUAAGUGGUGGACCAUGUGAAGCCCGCCCAAAAGCUUGAACAAGUAAAGUAAUGCCCGGCCUUGCGCCAGCGGGCAAGGUUGAUUUCAGCAUGACACCAACCACAUUUUCCUUUUUUAUUGUGUUUGGUGUGUGUGAUACACUCGCAUCUUAAGCGAGUGGGUCGACAGCUUCUGAUGUCGUGGGCCCCGUGAUGCAAAAUAUAUAAGCACACAAAUUAAACCCUAUUUGUGACAAUUGUAGUAAUGAUGUAAGUAGGGAUCGUUCUAACCGGGGAUUAACUAGGGGUGCUAAACACUUGACUCAAAUAAAUAAAACUAACUUUUAAAACACUAAGACAAACCAAAAGACUCAAAACAAGUUCAAAAGACUCCAAAUACUUAAAAGCAUAAAAUAAGAUAGAUUUGAACGACUAAGACUUUAACAAAAUAUGGGGGGGGGGGGAAAUUGAGUUGUUUUUGACGAGAUUAAAUUAAAUGGACAGAUUAUAAUUAAGGGCAAAAUGUAAAUAUGAAUGCGAUGAAAAAUAUGGAUGAUGGAAUAGCUUAAGGGGUUCUUCUCCACACAUGUCACACUUGCAAUACAAGAUUGAUUCUCAGUUGGUCUUUCGAUAAAUUAUGAAACUCAACACCCUAGGUUAAUUAGGUCCGCUUAAAUUAACCGUCAAGUUCUCCUUAAGUUAAUGAAUUGGAUGGGUUUGCGCAACGCAAUUCACAACAUUCUCCAAAAGUCCUUUACGUGAAAAGCACAAUAAAGAUACAAUCAAAGAUCAUUAAGCAUCAUGAAAACUAUAAGUGUUGACGAGGCAUUCGUUACUAUGAAAAGCAUGAAACUAGUGCCAAGAAUUCAUUUAACGCGAUUGUUUAUAAGCAACCUCCACUACUUGUGAAUAUAAGUUCAUAACGAUUAGGUGAAACUCACUUAUAUUCUAGCGUCAUAUUUAUGCAUGAAAAUUAAGCGUGCACUCUCAAUAAACAUACAUAAAUAAGUUAUCAAUCAAAUGGUUAAACAAAUUGAAUCCACAACUUAUGAAAUUCCAACCAAAGGUAAUCAAUUCAUAUUGCAAGCAUAAACAUAGUUUCGAAUCACCCCCUAGCUAAAGGGGGGUUUAGUUCCUCAUACUUACAAGACAAAGAGAAUUGAAUUUAAACAUUGAAAUCAAAGAAACACCUAAACAUUCCAACAACUCAAACUUGAAUUGUAUGAACGUUUAGGCCCUCUUCUAUUCCUCUUUGUUGUAGCACAAGGUCUAAGGAAAUGUUUAGGGCUUUUGGUGUAUGUGGAAUGGAGUGGGGAAUGAUUGCAAUGAAGAGAAAAUAUGCAGAAAAUGGAAGGGAUAUGCACGGCAAAGAAUGGGAUUUUGUGAUGGUGUGUUGUGUGAUUGUUUUGUCGUCAAAUCCCCCCCCCCCCAUUGAAUGAAUGCAUUGCAUGGUUUUAUAGGGAGAGAAUGGAUGGGAGAGCAUGUUAAUGGCAGCUAGGAUGAAAGAUUAAAGGGGUUGCUAGGUUGGAAAUGAUUAAAGAGUGAGGGGAUGCAUGUGAAAAACAGCUAGGAAAAAUUGGUGGAAUGCUGGAAUUGCUAAGGGAUGCACGGCAUGGGUUGUUUGGUGUGCAUGUGGCUGAUUUGUUUGUUGGGAAAACUUGUGAGUGAAUGAUUAAAGCUGCAUGUGGAUGAAUUAUACAAUGGGAAAGUAUGUGAUUGACAACUAGGGUGAAUGGUGGCUGCAAUGAUGAAGUGUGAUGGCUAAAAAUGGCAAGGGAAGGCACGGCAAUGGGUUGGUUUGUAUGGUUGUUUUGUGUUGUGAAUUAUGAUGAAUGCAUGUGGAUUAAAGAAGGAUAUGGAAGUGAAUAAAUCAUAAUAGGGCUACAAGUUUAAAGGGCUAGGGUUUAAGUACAUAAAAUGGGCCUAAAAUAGGGUGGUUUGCAUGGCAAGGGAAUGGUGUUAUAUGGUUAAGCCCAUGGCAAGGUUGUGUAAUUGGGUUAGGGCCAUUGUUUUGUGUCCUCAAGUGCAUACAAGGCCUUCAAUUUCAUCCAACAUUUUGGCUCCAAGCCUAAGCUAUCCAUCCUUAGCCCAAUAGUGCUCCAAAAAGGCCCCUAAAUGCACUUCUUUGCUCCUUAAGCCCUUAGAACCUGAAAACACACAAAAGAAGCAUAAAGGACAAAAUAACUAAAGAAACAUAACGUAAAAGUACGAGAACAAGCCAUUUAAGUCGCAUGAAUAUGCUCCUAUCACCCCGCUGCUGCAGCUCUAAAAGAAAGCACAACGUUUGCUUGACGUGGUGCGAUGAGAGCCAUCAAACUUCCAAUGACCUAAUGAUUUGGGCUGUUGGAAUCCUAACAGUAAAAAAAAAUCUAAAAAAGUUAUUGUUGUGCCAUGUGGCAUUUCUGUAGCGUCAGGAAGAAAAAUCAAUUGAUCAUGAUUAAUCUAAUCGUUAAAAAUGGAAAAAAAAAGAAAAAAAGAAAAAAAAGGGAGGAGAAAUAGGUGUUAAUGCAAGGUACUUUUAGGCUUCUAUAGUGAUGCAGGCCGAGAAGUAAGCCAUGAAAAGCCCAAAGAAGUUCAAGACACCCAAGGCCCAAGGGGCUUAUAAAAGAAUGAUGUCGAGCUAAAGCUGACCAUUUAUAACGCCACUCCGACUAGGAUAUUUGAACUUUCCGACUGCCAAGGGCACG
This 8761-nucleotide long non-coding RNA is filed under the name Malus domestica (apple). RNAcentral's name for it is "long non-coding RNA (MDOM_LNC005830)". Lineage: Eukaryota; Viridiplantae; Streptophyta; Magnoliopsida; Rosales; Rosaceae. The record is from RNAcentral.